This 217-nucleotide long non-coding RNA is filed under the name Homo sapiens (human). RNAcentral's name for it is "non-protein coding lnc-NSA2-1:1". The record is from RNAcentral. Lineage: Eukaryota; Metazoa; Chordata; Mammalia; Primates; Hominidae.
UUGGAGUGUGCCGCCAUCCUCCCCAAACACAUCUCGACUCUGAAAGUGACCCUAUGAAGGCUAUGACUGCUAAGCAGCAGGCAGAACAGGCAACCAUGGAGAAGAUUGUAUGCUGAGAUGGAAGACCCAAAAGAUUGAAGCAGCCUGGAUAACUCGGGUACCACACAGAGGACAACUGCCCUAGAGAGUUGCCUUGACCCGCAAAAGACAUUGCCUG